AGAUCAGCCCUGGGGUUCAGAGGGAUCCUGACGGCUACUCCUCAAGAUCCUCUCUGUUGUGAUUCAUCCCCCCCGGGCCCUACAGUUUCUCCUUCCUGACUCUUACAUUUCUUUGGAUGGCAUCAUUAUUUUAGGUGCCAAGCACUGUGGAUUCUGCCCCUCAGUGUCCAGACACCCAUUUUCCUUCCCACUGUUCCUUCCCCAUGGAGAAGCCUGUGGCUGGCUGACAGCAGAGAGAGAUGCUCAACUUGGAGAAGGUGUUACCUGGGCCAGGUGGGGAAGGUUUGUUUGCAGAGCAAAGAAGUGAAGAUCCUCAUGUGACAGGUGACCUGCCGUAUAAUCAGAAGGAAGAAAUGUUACACAGAGAGGCUGAGAAGAAUCUGAGGACUUGCUAAGUUUUCCCCAGUUUAUUACCAUUAGAUCAUAUGCCUUUUUUGUUCAAUCAUACUUCUAUACAACUGUCCAUCAUUCAUUAAACCUAACCACAAAAGUAGUUUUCACUCGGCUUUUGAGUGAAGGCUCCUGUGUCAC
This 531-nucleotide non-coding RNA is filed under the name Pan troglodytes (chimpanzee). The record is from RNAcentral. Lineage: Eukaryota; Metazoa; Chordata; Mammalia; Primates; Hominidae.